Molecule: ribosomal RNA, 468 nt
Filed under: uncultured bacterium
Lineage: Bacteria
Description: partial 16S ribosomal RNA
Rfam family: Bacterial small subunit ribosomal RNA
Source: RNAcentral
GACGAACGCUGGCGGCGUGCUUAACACAUGCAAGUCGAACGGAAAGGCCCUGCUUUUGUGGGGUGCUCGAGUGGCGAACGGGUGAGUAACACGUGAGUAACCUGCCCUUGACUUUGGGAUAACUUCAGGAAACUGGGGCUAAUACCGGAUAGGAGCUCCUGCUGCAUGGUGGGGGUUGGAAAGUUUCGGCGGUUGGGGAUGGACUCGCGGCUUAUCAGCUUGUUGGUGGGGUAGUGGCUUACCAAGGCUUUGACGGGUAGCCGGCCUGAGAGGGUGACCGGCCACAUUGGGACUGAGAGACGGCGCAGACGCCUACGGGAGGCAGCAGUGGGGAAUAUUGCACAAUGGGCGGAAGCCUGAUGAAGCAGCGCCGCGUGCGGGAUGACGGCCUUCGGGGUGUAAACCGCUUUCGCCUGUGACGAAGCGUGAGUGACGGUAAUGGGUAAAGAAGCACCGGCUAACUACGUG